GACGGAGGGGGCAAGCGUUGUCCGGAAUUACUGGGCGUAAAGGGCGCGUAGGUGGCUUCGUGCGUCGGUGCUGAAAGCGCCGGGCUUAACCCGGCGAGGCGUGCCGAUACGACGAGGCUUGAGGCAGGGAGAGGGUAGCGGAAUUCCGGGUGUAGUGGUGAAAUGCGUAGAUAUCGGGAGGAACACCGGUGGCGAAGGCGGCCAUCUGGACCGCAACUGACGCUGAGGCGCGAAAGCGUGGGGAGCAAACAGGG
RNAcentral lists this ribosomal RNA (254 nucleotides) under uncultured bacterium. RNAcentral's name for it is "partial 16S ribosomal RNA". It matches the Rfam family "Bacterial small subunit ribosomal RNA", at positions 524 to 777 of the family's 1533-position model. The record is from RNAcentral.